RNAcentral lists this non-coding RNA (45 nucleotides) under Schistosoma curassoni. Lineage: Eukaryota; Metazoa; Platyhelminthes; Trematoda; Strigeidida; Schistosomatidae. The record is from RNAcentral.
AUCCAGCUGGCGAGUCCCAAAUAGGACGAAGCGCGCGUCCUGGAU